CUGGUUUUCAUAAUGAUUUGACA
RNAcentral lists this microRNA (23 nucleotides) under Bombyx mori (domestic silkworm). RNAcentral's name for it is "bmo-bantam-5p". Its record names the gene bmo-bantam-5p. The record is from miRBase by way of RNAcentral. Lineage: Eukaryota; Metazoa; Arthropoda; Insecta; Lepidoptera; Bombycidae. RNAcentral also lists the same sequence under 1 other name.